This is a non-coding RNA of Pelodiscus sinensis (Chinese soft-shelled turtle), 330 nucleotides long. Lineage: Eukaryota; Metazoa; Chordata; Testudines; Trionychidae. The record is from RefSeq and is a predicted model, not a curated record.
UGUUCCGCACUGAAAUGUCUGUGAGCCUGCAGAGCUGAUAGGCUCCUUUCAGCUUAGCUUUUUUCCUGUGGAGUUUACAGUCACAGCAAGAGCAAAUCAUGGGGCUGACAGGUGAAGCUAAGAAAGUGUUUGUAAAGUCAGUCUUCUCAAGAAUUCCAGUUUAAAGAAUGGGUGGCUCUGAGGUACGGGAGACCUGAAUAAUCAAAACAGACAUCUCUGGCCUAAAUCAGCAAAUGAGAGCUUCAUUUUCUGUGUCUGUUGGGCUAAACAAGAGCUGUGCUAAAAAUUACCAAACUGCCAUCUGAUCCAUCAUACCGUCAAAAAGAAGAU